This 1524-nucleotide long non-coding RNA is filed under the name Linum usitatissimum (flax). RNAcentral describes it as "long non-coding RNA (LUSI_LNC002754)". The record is from RNAcentral. Lineage: Eukaryota; Viridiplantae; Streptophyta; Magnoliopsida; Malpighiales; Linaceae.
UUUUAUGUGAUAGAAGAUAAGCAAGCUUAUAGUUCCACGGAAUUAAUUGGACUGAGUCACAAUGCAGCAACAGAUAUAGAAAGACAAAACAACCUAGCUAGACUAACUGUAGUUAUAAUCAGUUUAAUAGAUAGUUAAAGAAAUGCCAACACUCCUAAUCUGCUUUUACAGUUUCGGGAAUGAGAUACAAUCUUUGUCUAGGAAAAACUGAUAUGAUUCUGGGUACAACAAACAUCUGAUUGUUAAGAAAGCUCAUACAAUUCCCAUCCUCAGCUGAACGAAUGGUUAAUCACUCGGAACAGUAGUGACCAAUAAUACACUCAAAAUCAUCAAGCAAUCAACUAUUGUUCAGAAAUAUCACGAAACUAUAUUCAACUAUUUGGCUGCAGAAGAAACUGUUGCAUCACAGUUUCGUAUGCAAAGAAUCCUUGACUAAGUGUGCUGGUAAUUCAUCAUUAUCAGAAACAACUUAUCAGAUUACUCAAAGGCGUCUACAAUUCAACAAGUGAAAGUAAAUUAGAGAACAUCCAAACAGUUCAAUCACCAAUCUCAUAGUUCCAUAAUUUCGAGCCACUACCACACCUAUUCUACCAGAACAUGCAAGUAAAAGUUCUUUCCCUGCAGAUAAACUGAAUCCAAUGACAUAAACAGCUAGGAUAACGAUAGAAGUUCACUCAUUAUCGUGACUAAUGAAAAAAUUAAGAGGGAAAUCAUGAGCUAUACACAUACAUACAGUCCAAUCGACGAAUUACAGACACGAGAAAACUCUCAAGCAAUUACUCACAGGAGUGAAAAGCAUCUCAGCAGUGGGAGUCUCAUACUCCUCGGUGCCUUCAUAUGGUACAUUCAGGUCAUGCAAUAGAGUAGGAUCUCUAGGUGCCUGCUUCUGACCUGAAGAUCGCUCUAUUGGCCCCAAAACCAUACCCGCUUGCAUCAUCUUCAUCUCCCAAAUCUGAGGAACAAAUCAUCAAUCAGAACAGAUAAUCGCAAAAUCGUACAACCAAAAUUCAAUACCCUAGGCAUUCUAUUAAGAUCCAGAAAUAACACCGAUCCACAACCGCACCAGCUCAUAACAUACCAAAACCCAGAAACGAAGGAAUAAAAUAAAGAACAAGAACAACAGCAGAAACGAAGGAAUCAAAUAAAGAACAAGAACAACAGCAGAAACGAAGAAAUCAAAUAAACCUGUUACAUUGUUAAUGCUCAAAGUUGGCGAUAGGCUCAACCCUCAGGUGGCCGCUGUGGCCGGAGAAACCAACCUCGAAUGCGAACUCAUUCGAAGGUUGGAUCCGAUUCAUACCAAGUCGCUGAUUGCACCCCAUCUUUUUGAAUAUACAGUGGUGAUGCUUUUUUUUGGUAAAGUUACAGUGGUGAUGCUAGUGAGAGGAAUUUGUAAUAAAGAGAGUGCGCGGGGAUUUUGAGAUUUUUCGCGGCUAUAAAGCUACAGGCCACAAGGCUGUACACUUGCGAUCGCCCAAAACAACUGGAUUCGGCCAGGAAAUAUUGGGCCAAGCCACACUGCCA